Molecule: non-coding RNA, 190 nt
Filed under: Bacillota bacterium
Lineage: Bacteria; Bacillati; Bacillota
Description: Firmicutes bacterium T-box sequence
Rfam family: T-box leader
About the family: Uncharged tRNA acts as the effector for transcription antitermination of genes in the T-box leader family. T-boxes are found upstream of many aminoacyl-tRNA synthetase genes and some amino acid biosynthetic genes usually in Gram-positive bacteria.
Source: RNAcentral
AAUUAAGCAACGAACUGGAGUAGUACAGUGAUUGUUUUGUUCUAGCGAGCAAGUGUUUGGUGAAAACUUGUACAAACAACAUUGGAACUUGUCAGGGAGCUUAACGCACCUCUGCGUUAUAGAGGUUUGAGUGUUCGUGUCAAUGUUGGCAGGAAAACUAAGGUGGUACCGCGUUUUUAACGUCCUUAGA